Molecule: ribosomal RNA, 119 nt
Filed under: Triticum dicoccoides
Lineage: Eukaryota; Viridiplantae; Streptophyta; Magnoliopsida; Poales; Poaceae
Source: RNAcentral
GGAUGCGAUCAUACCAGCACUAAAGCACCGGAUCCCAUCAGAACUCUGAAGUUAAGCGUGCUUGGGCAAGAGUAGUACUAGGAUGGGUGACCUCCUAGGAAGUCCUCGUGUUGCAUUCC